UCACGGUGGGCCUCACAGAAUUUACUCAGUACACUAAUGGGCGGCCGGAGCAGAGUAGCUUAUUUUUAUAUUUCGUACCCUACAACGAAACGCCUUCUUUUCGUCGCCCCUGCUCACUCGACCUCAGUCCCAUUCCCACAGCCAUGGCUAUUCUGCCCCAUAGCCUCCCUUACUCUUUAUAAUCUGAUCUCUCUGUCAUAUCCACGACAUUUCACCUCUUCCUUUGCAUCUCUGGAACUCCUUCAGCUGAUAUGGACAGUCUUCGGGAGAAGGUGACGAAGCUUGGAAUUUGUUGAUUGCUGACUAAAGCCAGACCUUGUCAAUGCUAUUGCUGAGAGGUUAUCCUCCAAUCUGAGACAAUUCCAGAGUUGACGAGAACUUCUCAGGCAUUAGCUCUACUGCACGAUGAAGCGUUGGAGUUACGUAAAUUAGCGGAUGCUCGAAAAAGUGAAAACGAUUUCUUAAAGACGACAUAGGAAGAAGAGAAAUCAGACUUACAGGAACUGAAGGAUGAAGCUGAGAGAAAGUACAAUGAAAUAAACGACCAGCCCAUUGAUCCAGCAUUGGGAAUCAUUUGUGGAGGAGAUGCAGCAGAUCAAAUAUGUAUUAAUGUUUCUCAUGGGCACCUGGUAAGGGAUUAUGUUGCAACAAGAUGGUAUAGAGCUCCUGAAUUGUGUGGAUCCUUUUUUCUCUAAGAUAAAUGCUUGUCCAGUACAGCUUGAAGCGUCUUGUGCCUAGGCUAUCUGAACUCCUCAGCAUCAAUAUGAUGUUUUACCUUGGAGGCUGAUAAGGUCUUCUGUUCCCUUUAGCUGUGAGGCAGUUCUCUCCACAUUUAGUUGCAAAGAUGAGAACCCCUAUAACGUACGUGCAGUUUCCUUUUUUGAAUUGUUGUAAGCAGUCAACAAUUUGUGUUGUUUCCUUUUUAUUAUUGUGCUAAAGCAGUUAACCAAUUCUGCAGUAAUACAUUACAAAAAAAAAAUAAAAUUCCUUAAC
Magnolia sinica is the source of this 993-nucleotide long non-coding RNA. RefSeq lists it as uncharacterized. Lineage: Eukaryota; Viridiplantae; Streptophyta; Magnoliopsida; Magnoliales; Magnoliaceae. The record is from RefSeq and is a predicted model, not a curated record. The transcript is spliced from 8 exons.